Non-coding RNA from Triticum urartu, 2205 nucleotides. Lineage: Eukaryota; Viridiplantae; Streptophyta; Magnoliopsida; Poales; Poaceae. The record is from RefSeq and is a predicted model, not a curated record.
CACCCGUGAAAAUAUCUCCUCUCCCUUGCCUUCUCUCACGUGCUCUCCCCUCCCCUGAUCCCCUCCUUCCCUACCGUCACGCCGCUGGCUCCACGCAGCGGCCGACGCGGCCUUCUCUCCCCGGCGCUUGAGGUACAGCAGCGGCUGCGGCACUUCUCGGCCCAGCCGGAUCCGGUGCAGGUCGCCGGCAUCACGCGCCGCGUGCCGUGAUUCUGGAUCGGGCGCAGAUCUUGCCACCUAUCCUCCUCUCUCUCUCCCAUGUCGCCAUUGUUGCAAGGAGCAGGGGAGAUAGGUGCUGAGGACAAGAAGCAACGGGUUGGUCAGGGUGGGCUUGAGCUGCUGGGGAGAUGGAGGAGGCCGUCGUGGUUCGUCAUGGAGGCGGCGCCGCCGGCAAGCUGGUUGAGCACAGAGGAAUGAGGAAUGGAUACAUGAGGCAUGGCGUAAGCGUAGGGGUCAGCCAGGGCACGACGCAAGAGUCUGCCCAUCUCCUCUCAAACACGAAAGGCACUAAUGCGUCCCGAAAACCUAGCGCACAAAGGACCAAUCCUUCCCUUCCUCGAGCCCCAUUCGAGUCCGCGCCGUUCAGCAUCUCCAGCCUCCCCUGCUCCUCGACCCUCCGGCCCCACGGCCUCUCGCGCCGCCGCCUUCUUCCCUGGACGUCUUCCCCGACGCUCGUGGUGCAGCAGCGGCCAUUGCAGUAGCCGCUGGAACUGAUGGAUAUUGACAUGGGUAACAAAAUAGUUGAAAGAUUUUGUACCGACGAGGCUCUUGAGACUACAAACAUUUCUUCACUCCUUGUACGAAAGGAUUCUAGGAGUAAGUUAUAGGAUUUUAUAUUUUAGUCGGAUAUUCCUUCUGUUAAUAUGUGCUCCUGUGCAAUUUUUCAUAGGCUUCUCUUUCCUUUUUCUGGUUACGAUUUACAAAGCUGAGCAAUAGUUUCUCUACUAAUAUAACUUGUGUGAAAAACAUCCGUCUUUAGGAUGCUUUUGCGGCAUGUGUAACUGCCUCACAUUAGCCUAUGCUUCUAUCCGAGUUGUUUACUACUAAGACCAUAAUGGAUCAUGCUUUUUAACUGGCAUAUAAGUGCUGAUGGAAAAUGAUGUCUUAUUUUUUGCCUGGUAAAUUUUAAUUGGCGCAUGCAAUCCAUGCUUCCCAGUCUUUGGUGACAAUGUUGUCAGGCCUAAAAAUAGAAGUUUUCGAUUUCCUCUCUCUGGUUUUUAGUUGGUUAGAUGUUAAUGCGUGGAAAUGUAUAUGCUGAUUUUUUUCCUGUUUUAAUAAAUUGCUAAUACGUGGAUCUUGUCUGCUUGCUUCAAAACUAAAAUGUGACUUUUACUUGCCUAUUACCAAAGAAGAUUUCAUGCAUGCCACAUCAAGUCGCCAUAGAUGCCUCCAAGUGAAAUUUCAGCGACGACAAGAUUUGGCAUCAUAUUGCCCAGUAACUGAAUAUGCACGCAGGAGGAUCACUCUGGAUGAUGGAAAAUGCAUUAUCCGUGCUUAAUACUAGACGGAAACAAAAUUUCUCUUCCUACUAUGUCUGUACCAUGAACAAGAUGUUCGCAACAAGUGGUCAACAAAUGGUAUUCUGUUCCUGUCCUUUCUCCUUUUUAUGAAUCUUCAUAGCUGCAUCUUAACCAUGCUUAAUAUCUAUUGCAGUACUUUUCCACUCACUUCACACAAGAAUAUCUCAAGGGGCACAUGCAUGAAGAGCAUACUAAUUUGCUGAUCAAAGCUGGAAACAGACCUGCCAUCGUCAUUGCUCGGCUUAUCAUACAAUCACAAGAAGCUGGACUCAGUUCUUUGACAUCGCAAAUAUGAAAGGAGGAGUGUCAUAUGCAUUUGCCUUUGAGGAAUUGGCGGGAGAACUCAUAUCAUCGUGCACUCCCUUUGAUAGCGUCAUGAGCAACCACUGCCAUCAUCUCAUAAUAUAGCUCAGGUUCAAGACCUAGGUCAUGCACUACUUUUCUCGACCAUAUAAUGUGCUCUGCGUCACCUUAUCCUUUCAGCUCCAGUACUUCAUAAUAUAGAGUAGAUGAAACAUCUUUUUAAAUUGGUGUGGAAAUACCAAUGCAGAUGGAGCUAUGUAAUCCAGCUUGCUUUCUAUCAUGAGUUGGUCUCAUGACUUUGUUUUUAGCCAUCUUGGUACCAUGCAAUGGAAUAUAUAACACUAUGUUUGAACAUCGUAUCUAAAUAUUAUCUAAACACUCU